UUUCAGUUAAUGACCCGGAUGAAGCCUGUCCUUCAAACACAGGUAAGUGGUCUCUGCUGAAGUCACUGGGAUCUUGGCACAUGCUCAUGAAGGUGGAGGUUGCCCAUCUUUAUUACUCACUAAAUUAUGUCUUAGAAUCUACUGUGUUAUUUCUGCUUGCACCAGGACUUAGAGAUUGCUGCAUAUUUAAAAAUAAAAAAUAAAAACAACUUAAAUCUACCAGACAAUGGUGUCUAGUCACGAAUAAAAAAGAAAAAAAAAAAAAGCUUUACAGUGAUAUGAAGGUAAAGAAAUGAGUUCCAUAUGGCUGUGUGUGUUUAAGAGCACAGAUUUAGCAGGGAGGCAAUGGGGGCUGGGACCCUUUAAUUUCUGCUAUGCUCUGUGUCACAGUGAUGAGGGAAAGUUCUUGCUGGCACCAACGCGUUGCACCUAGCCCUGCUAUGAGAUACCCACUCUCCAGUGUCCUGCCUAUCCCACGUGCUCUGAGUUUCUCAGCCUGAGUAAAUCAUUUUUCACUCAGCUACCAAAGAUUUUUAUGCUUGUGGUUUCCCAGAGUCAAAUCCUUGGUGUUGGUCAGAAGAUGUCACGUAUGUGCAUGUCAUUUACCUUGUAAACCACAACUUUUUAAAGAAGCAGAUGCAAAGUAUGUAGGAGAACUAAGAGCGCUGACCCAAUCACAACAGCAAUCUCUUUUUAGAUCGUUACAGUAUGUAACAUCUCUGAGUGAAAUGGAGUUAAUCAUCCAAACCUGUAAUUUUCAAGUAAUCUCCAAUUCUGGAUUGUUGUUAUGUCAUUACCAGCAGUAGCCAGCAUUUGCAAAGGAGGCAGCAGAGAGUUUCUGUUAAAAUGAAAUCAAAAAUAUUUUUUAUCAGUGGCAUGUUUAAAAGCUGAAGCAUCUGAAUGCUUUUUUGCAGUCUGUAUCAGAGAGUCAUACCUGGUGAAUCUCUGCCUAAAUCAGUGGCAGCAGAGGGAGCGUGUAACAAAGAAGAGAAAAAAUCGCCUCGUGUAAGAUUAUGGAAAUGCCAUGCAAGAGGCAUAACACGGCUGUGUCCCGAUCGGGCCAAGUACCCUUUGGAGAAGUUUUGCUCCAGAUGCAUCAGCUCAGGGCGGCUGCUGCUACCGAGGAGUCCCGAGAUGCUCCAGCCUUCUCCAUCCAUGUACCACAGGGGACCCACGGUGCAUUCCGGGAGCCAAACGCAUGACUCAGAUCUCUGUUCCUCCAGCGGCUCGAACUGCACGCUGCUGGUAGCUCUGCACCAAACCAAACCCGUGCUGGACCCAGCAAAACCUCUCCUGGUCAGUGGCGGAGGAAGCACAAGCACACGUAGCUCUGCACGGCUACCCCACAGGUACGGCUCUCCAGCGCCUGUCCCAUCACCCUGGUGGCUUUCUGGGCUGCUCUGGGUACAUCCGAGGAGCACUGCUGUCUGCUCAGGGUUGCCACCAGGGCAACCAGAUAACGGGGACCCUGCCAAAAGGCGCUCGAUCCCCUUAGGAAAAAAAAAAAACAAACAAGCCUACUUCCCAAGCUCAGCCUCUUCUGCCUCCUGUUUGAACCCCCGAAGCUCCAGCCCUGCAUGAGGGACAGCAGAGCCACCGGAAGGUCUCCCAGCCCCCCGGGGGGGUUGUGGCAGAGCCUCCCCACCACCCUUGGGGCUCUGGCCGCCGCCGGCCACCCGCCACCCAGCCGCUUCCAGGAAGCCAGCCCCGUCGCGCCGUCUGGGGCCGCCGGCGGCUCCGCGGCCGUGCCCUUGGCUGCCGGCCACGGUGGGAGGCCCCCGCGGUUCUCCCGGCUUUGGGCGGCCGCCCGCGGGGGUCCCCAACGCCUCCCCUGCACACCCAGCAACCGGGGGGAGAGCGAGGAGGGGGGCUGGGGUGAAAGCUUGAAUUCCAUCCCCCUGCCAGCCCCAGCUUUGAGCCCAGCGGGAGGAAAGAGGGGAGGCAGAGGGCUUGCUCUGCUCCGGCAGCGCUUCUCUAAUGCGGUUACACGGGCUCGAAAUGAGCGUUUACCGCUGGAAAACGCUGCUGCUGGUACCUCUGCUCCUCCAGAGCGCCAGAUCUGUGUGUUUGAAAUGGCCAGGCCACUGGAGGAGCAAAGACUCAAAAAAAAAAAAAAAAAAAAUCGAAUUUCUAAGAGCAAAUCCUUUUAUUGAGCAUGUGUGUGGCUUUCUGUGGUGCUGGGAACCUACAGUUCCCAUAUAAAACUCGGCUCCUAAUUCUUCCCUGCCUUUUCCCUUCCCCAGGCUCUGUCCAUUGUUCUUGCUUGGCUCCAUCGCUGAGUCCGUGGCAAACUUUUGUCCAUAUGUCUCCCCAGGAGCCAUCCGAGGUGUAGGUCGGGCUGUUAUUAUCCCUGCUUGGGAGAAAGGAAACUGAAACACGCCUCAGGUCACCCGAGGAAAUCUGUGCUGGAUUAGCACCUGAAUCAUUUGUUCUGGUCACAGAAAUGCUAAUUUCAUUAGCAUUUCAACAUCUGAGCAGAGCCCUGAGUGAUAUGGCCACGAAGAUGCAGGUAUUUCCAGCCCCAGUCCUACCCCACUAAGCUUAGCGGUGAAUUUCUUUGGCAGUGGAUUGAAAUCUAACCAAAUAUUUUCUUUGGGCUUGGUUCUCCUUUCAUUGGCAUUGUUUUAUGCAGAACUG
Cairina moschata (Muscovy duck) is the source of this 2637-nucleotide long non-coding RNA. NCBI's taxonomy places the organism in Eukaryota, Metazoa, Chordata, Aves, Anseriformes, Anatidae. The record is from Ensembl.